AUUGAACGCUGGCGGCAUGCCUUACACAUGCAAGUCGAACGGUAACAGGUCUUCGGAUGCUGACGAGUAGCGAACGGGUGAGUAAUACAUCGGAACGUGCCCGAUCGUGGGGGAUAACGAAGCGAAAGCUUUGCUAAUACCGCAUACGAUCUACGGAUGAAAGCAGGGGACCGCAAGGCCUUGCGCGAACGGAGCGGCCGAUGGCAGAUUAGGUAGUUGGUGGGAUAAAAGCUUACCAAGCCGACGAUCUGUAGCUGGUCUGAGAGGACGACCAGCCACACUGGGACUGAGACACGGCCCAGACUCCUACGGGAGGCAGCAGUGGGGAAUUUUGGACAAUGGGCGAAAGCCUGAUCCAGCCAUGCCGCGUGCAGGAUGAAGGCCUUCGGGUUGUAAACUGCUUUUGUACGGAACGAAAAGACUCUGGUUAAUACCUGGGGUCCAUGACGGUACCGUAAGAAUAAGCACCGGCUAACUACGUG
RNAcentral lists this ribosomal RNA (482 nucleotides) under uncultured bacterium. RNAcentral describes it as "partial 16S ribosomal RNA". It matches the Rfam family "Bacterial small subunit ribosomal RNA", at positions 30 to 507 of the family's 1533-position model. The record is from RNAcentral.